AGUAUUUUCCUCAGCACUUCACAACUGCCGCAAGGUAUAUCGUUUUAACUUUUUAUUUUUUCGGAUCCCAGACACAGCGGUGCGAGGUAGUUAGCACACAGUUUGGACAUGUAGAAAACAUCGUUUGUUUGUUUGGAACACAUCAGCAGAGAGGUAGAAUUCAUAGCUGUUCAUAAGAGUUUAAUUUAAUCAAACCUCAUUUUACGGAUCUAAGUGGCUCCUCAUCACUAGCCAAUUCACCAUUUUAUUUAAAUAUCUGAAUUUUCGGAAUGAUGAUCCAAGCGGGACACAGAGGCUGUUAGUUUAAUGCACCAGAAUGCAAAUAUAAAUAAAAGUCUGACUAUCCUGACAGCCUAGCUGCAGCGACACCUUUCUUUCACACGGAUGCCUGGAUGUGCGUUGGAGCCGACUUUGCUACCCGCACACAGCGUUUCUGACCUACGGGCGCUGCUUAUACAACAGAGAAAAGCAACAAUACAGCGUGUUUCUCUGCUCCAAGACAUCGGCGGGCCUUUCACACGAAGGAAGGUCACAGCAGGAGCUUUUUCAAACGCGUUUCCAAUCACUUUUACAAGAAGUGUAGCUCAUACAAUGGUAUUAUUGUAUUAUUUGCGAUACUUUAUAAAUAUGAAACUCUAAAGAUUUUGAGUUCAUGCAAAUUGUGAAACAAGAAUCUAAAUAUUUUGUGUCACAAUGAUUUCUAUAAAAGCAUGUUGUUUAUGGGCAUAAUGUAACAAAUCUUUUGUGCGCCCUGUUAAUGAUCAAUGGUGAUUGAAGAGAAAGCUUGAACCCUGGCUCUGGACAUUUUCAUGACAAGUGACAGCGCAGACAUCUACUAAUGAGAGAACAUUUUUUAUCAUCAUAAACACUGUGAUAUGAAGCAUCGUUAAAGUGUCACUUCAGUAAUGUUGACUCAUGUUUUUAAUAGAUGACUUUAAAACACUAAACUCUAAUUUCUGUGGUUUAAGUUUACAGAAUAUAACAUGUGGUAAGACGACGAGUUUUACUUCUCACUGUCCGUGUUAUGUGUAUCUAUUUAUCAUGUAUGCUACUUUGCUCUGUGGACUGUAAAAUGUUUCAUUGUGUUCAUGAAAUAAACCAGACUUUCACCGUCUGAAUCUUUUACUGUUUUUCUGCUUUUGUUCACUCCAAGUUUGACAAACCCACAGACAUCCAGAGUUAACUCACUAACAAUGUGGAGCAGUCUCAGUGUAUUUAGCUGCUUUUUCCCUAAACACAACCAACUGAGAGAAACGCUUGUAGUCCUCACUUUGGUCAUUUUGAACGUUGAAGGAGAUUUGUUCCAUAGACACCUUAUACUAGUGUUCUAUUUAAAUUCAGAUUCCUUUUAUAGUUUGCAGUUUCUUUACUAACACAUUUGUAGAUAAGUUUAUUGCUGAACCACACAGCUAGCAGUCUCACUCACUCUCUAGGUUUUGAAGUUUUGUGUGUGAUGGUUUAGUCUAUCAAACCUUACCUUUUUCUCCCAGCAUCACAACAGUAUGACUCCCAAAGUACGGAUCAGUAAACAACCAAUGAUUCUAAAGCCAGAACAGAAAGAUACAGUUGGAAGAUGCAUGAUUGCAUUUUUAUGACGCAUAGUAAAACUACCCCCUCUUCUUCUUCUCUGUGUUGUUGUUGUUCUCGUGUGUGUGUGUGUGUGUGUGUGUGUGUGUGUGUGUGUGUGUGUGUCUUAGAAGUCAAAUAAUACAUUAGCCACACUUAAAAAAACAUCUGAAUUUCAUUUAGAACUGAGAUUCUAAGUUGUAAGCAGAAAUCUUAUGCUCAGCUACAAACAUGUUUCCCCACUUUCACAAUGCUGAGGUGUCAAAUCCACAACCCCCAACAGAUGCUUUGUUACACGCGGGUGUGAAGGGCAAGCUUUACUUACACAGCCUCACACACAGUAGAUUUUUUAAGUUUUUGGGGACAAUGGUUUAGCCACAGAUGUAACUUCUACUUUUGAUAAAGAUCACUCCACCUGUUUAUUUCUUAAGAAAUUAAGCAUCUUUAUUAAGCUCUCAUUUAUACAUGUCUACACAAUAAUAGACACCGUGUGCUCUGUGACAUUAUAGUCUUCUACUUCAGCGUUCAUUGGUUUGCAUUUUAAACUCCCAGCCUUUCAGGUUGUUAUGAACGACUUAUAU
RNAcentral lists this long non-coding RNA (2147 nucleotides) under Oreochromis niloticus (Nile tilapia). Its description in RNAcentral is "lncRNA (ENSONIG00000035921.1)". The record is from RNAcentral. Lineage: Eukaryota; Metazoa; Chordata; Actinopteri; Cichliformes; Cichlidae.